AUUGAACGCUGGCGGCAGGCCUAACACAUGCAAGUCGAGCGGAUGAAGGGAGCUUGCUCCUGGAUUCAGCGGCGGACGGGUGAGUAAUGCCUAGGAAUCUGCCUGGUAGUGGGGGAUAACGUCCGGAAACGGGCGCUAAUACCGCAUACGUCCUGAGGGUGAAAGUGGGGGAUCUUCGGACCUCACGCUAUCAGAUGAGCCUAGGUCGGAUUAGCUAGUUGGUGGGGUAAAGGCCUACCAAGGCGACGAUCCGUAACUGGUCUGAGAGGAUGAUCAGUCGCACUGGAACUGAGACACGGUCCAGACUCCUACGGGAGGCAGCAGUGGGGAAUAUUGGACAAUGGGCGAAAGCCUGAUCCAGCCAUGCCGCGUGUGUGAAGAAGGUCUUCGGAUUGUAAAGCACUUUAAGUUGGGAGGAAGGGCAGUAAGUUAAUACCUUGCUGUUUUGACGUUACCAACAGAAUAAGCACCGGCUAACUUCGUG
This 484-nucleotide ribosomal RNA is filed under the name uncultured bacterium. RNAcentral describes it as "partial 16S ribosomal RNA". It matches the Rfam family "Bacterial small subunit ribosomal RNA", at positions 30 to 507 of the family's 1533-position model. The record is from RNAcentral.